This 400-nucleotide unclassified non-coding RNA is filed under the name soil metagenome. Its description in RNAcentral is "partial contains 5.8S ribosomal RNA, internal transcribed spacer 2, and large subunit ribosomal RNA". The stretch from base 1 to 122 matches the Rfam family "5.8S ribosomal RNA", at positions 35 to 154 of the family's 154-position model. The record is from RNAcentral.
GAUGAAGAACGUAGCGAAAUGCGAUACUUGGUGUGAAUUGCAGAAUCCCGUGAACCAUCGAGUCUUUGAACGCAAGUUGCGCCUCAAGCCAUUAGGUUGAGGGCACGUCUGCCUGGGCGUCACAUAUCGUUGCCUGAUGCCAGUUUCCUCGUGAUGGGUGACUGUGCAGGGCGAAUGAUGGCUUCCCGUGAGCAUUGUUGCCUCAUGGUUGGUUGAAAAUUGAGUCCUUGGUAGGGAGCGCCGUGAUAGAUGGUGGUUGAGUGACGAACGAGACCCAAUCAUGUGAGACCCCUACCGAAUUUGGCCUUCAUGACCCACAUGCGUCUUUGGAACGCUCAUGACGAGACCUCAGGUCAGGCGGGGCUAACCGCUGAGUUUAAGCAUAUCAAUAAGCGGAGGA